CGCGGGUGCUUACUGACCCUUUUGGGUUGGAGUUAGCUCAAGCGGU
This 46-nucleotide non-coding RNA is filed under the name Pan troglodytes (chimpanzee). The record is from RNAcentral. Lineage: Eukaryota; Metazoa; Chordata; Mammalia; Primates; Hominidae.